UACAGAGGAUGCAAGCGUUAUCCGGAAUGAUUGGGCGUAAAGCGUCUGUAGGUGGCUUUUUAAGUCCGCCGUCAAAUCCCAGGGCUCAACUCUGGACAGGCGGUGGAAACUACCAAGCUGGAGUACGAUAGGGGCAGAGGGAAUUUCCGGUGGAGCGGUGAAAUGCGUAGAGAUCGGAAAGAACACCAACGGCGAAAGCACUCUGCUGGGCCGACACUGACACUGAGGAGCGAAAGCUAGGGGAGCGAAUGGG
RNAcentral lists this ribosomal RNA (253 nucleotides) under uncultured bacterium. RNAcentral's name for it is "partial 16S ribosomal RNA". It matches the Rfam family "Bacterial small subunit ribosomal RNA", at positions 524 to 776 of the family's 1533-position model. The record is from RNAcentral.